RNAcentral lists this small RNA (107 nucleotides) under Marmota monax (woodchuck). The record is from RNAcentral. Lineage: Eukaryota; Metazoa; Chordata; Mammalia; Rodentia; Sciuridae.
GCCAGGCACGGUGGCACACUCCUGUAAUCCCAGCUGCUCUGGAGGCUGAGGCAGGAGGAUUGCAAGUGCAAGGUCAGCCUGGGCAACUCGGUGAGACCCUGCUUCAA